Molecule: long non-coding RNA, 3808 nt
Filed under: Canis lupus familiaris (dog)
Lineage: Eukaryota; Metazoa; Chordata; Mammalia; Carnivora; Canidae
Description: lncRNA (ENSCAFG00000058522.1)
Source: RNAcentral
UAUAUAGAAAAGCAACUAGUUGAAGCUAGUCACCAUCUUCUAUAUUUUGCAUUCCAGAAACGUUGAGUCAUUUGAAAAGGCAGAAGAAAUUGAACCGUGAAAAUUAUAUACCAGCAGCUCCAUAGAAUGUGUCAAUAUUCAGAUUAUCAAUGAAUCAGAGAUGAAUGCUUAAGUUUGCUUUGGAAAAGAGACUAAACAACACAUAGAGGCUGAGUGUCAAAGAAUUUCAUUAAAGAAUCAAAAUAUGUGCAGAAUAAGAAUGACCACAAAAGAUUAUUUUUCCAGCUGUAUUACACAGAAUACAAGUUCUACAAGAGAUUCUGAAUCAAAAGUAUUUCAUGAUUAAAAUAUGUAAAAAAACAAAAUAAAAACUUCAGACUAAAGUACCCUCUAGAGGACUCUAGAAGACAUUAGCUUAUUACAGGAUCUUGAUUGAACAACAACAACAAAAAAAGAACCUAUUUAACUUUGCUUAAUUUAGUGUGUCUCAAAUAUAUCUAACAGCAACUAAACUUUUUUAGCAACACCUAGCAAAAUAAUUGUACACCUCAAAUAUAUGCCAAGAAAUACUAACCUAGUUAAUUUUUUUUUCAUUUUAAAGACAAUGGAAGAAAGACUCAGAAAAGUUUGCAAAAUGUUCAAGUCAACAAAACUACUUAGUUGCAGAACCAGACUACAACUCAGGGUAUCAUGGCAGCUUACAAGUCUGGAACAUUCUUCUGCUCUGCCUUCAGUGUCUCCAAAUCCCUGGGGAAGGAUAACAUUGCAAACAUAACCACAAAUUUGUUUCUUGGCAUUCUCCUUCAUACUACCUGUAAGGAAAAUUUAUUACCUAUCACAGUAGGUAAUGGUUGAUUACCAUUAACCAGGUAAUGGUUGAUUCUUAACCAGAUAGGCAGGGUGCUAAGGGAGAUCAGGAAUGGAUGUUGAUGGAAUUUGUAGGGCAAGGAGAGGUAUAUUUUUAAAGCAUAGUAAAUGUUAAAGUAUACUUUUUAUUUAGAAAGAAAUAAUUCCUAAUAAUGUUUCAUUUUUUAAAAAUAUUUAUUUAUUUAUUUGAGAGAGAAAGAGGGAAAGAGCUCAUCUGAGUGGGGGGAGGAGCAGAGGGAGAGGGAGAGAAAACCUCAAGCAGACUUCCUACUUAGUGGGGAGACCAAAGCGGGGCUUGAUUCCAGGACCCUAAGAUAUGACCUGAGCUGAAAUCAAGAGUUGGGUGCUUAACCCAGUGAGUCUCCCAGGUGCCCCAAUGUUUCAUAUUUUAAAUAAAAAAAAGAAUAUGACAUUGUUGUUUACCUAAAGUACAUAUGGAUUUUAAAAGUUUGCACAACACCAACAAUAAGAAUAUAUAUAAAAGGGGGUGCCUGGGUGGCUCAUUCGGUUAAGUGUUUACCUUCAGCUCAGGUCAUGAACCCAGAGUUCUGGAAUUGAGCCCCAGGUUAGGGUCUCUGCAGCUUGUUUCUCACUCUCCCUCUGCCCCCUACCCUCACUUGUGGUCUAUCUCAAAUAAAUAAAUAAUCUUUUUUUAAAUAAUUUUUAUAAAGGGAACAUAAUCUUGCCUUAUAUUAGGCUUUCUGGAGGAAAUGACAUUUAGUCCCACAAUGAACAAUUAGCAGUCAGCUAGUCAAGCCAAAGCAGGAGUGGUUGAAGUGUGUUCCAGGCAGAGACAGUAGUAAAUUUUAAGGACCAGAGACAUGGGGCAGCCCCGGUGGCCCAGCGGUUUAGCACCGCCUUCGGCCCAGGGCAUGGUCCUGGAGACCUGGAAUCAAGUCCCACGUUGGGCUCCCUGUGCGGAGCCUGCUUCUCCCUCUGCCUGUGUCUCUGAUUCUCUCUCUCUCAAGAAUAAAUAAAUAAAAUUUUUAAAAAAUAAGCACAAAUAAUAAUUAUACUAGAAGCAUAAAUAAUAAUAGAAACAAAAAUGAUACUAAUAAUGCAGUACUUUCUGUAUCCCAGGUACUGUGCUAGAAACUACACGCCUUAUCUCAUAAGUGUAUCCCAUGAGUUAGAUACUAUUAAUAUCCUAAUUUGACCGAUCAGUAAACUAAUCCUUAGAGAGAUUAAGUAAAUUGCCCCUGGCCAGAUAGCGUGUGAUCAAAAUUAGAAUUCAAAUCCAGGUCUGUAUGAGGUCCAAAACCUAACUUUUAACUCUGUAUUUUCUGAUAUUUCUAGUUACCUGUUUUAUGGCACUUAUUAUAUACUUGGAACUGUGCCAGUCAAUAUAUAAACAUUACAUUAUCUAAUCUUCAAACAAAUCUAUCAAAAGGUAACAUUAUCCAUAUUUUACAGAUGAAGAAACCAAAGCACACAAUAUUUAGUUGCCAAUGGUUAUACUAAUAGAAAGAAGCUGAAGAUUCAGAUCUAAAUGUGUCUGAUUCUAAAUCUAUGUGUUUAGCUACAAUCUAUACCAUUAGAAUAUGAUAACAUCAAUCAGUAGCUCCCUAUUCCCCAUGGAACUCCAUGGUGCUGAGUCUUCAAAAGACAACCAUUCAUGGUUUCUAAGGUAGAGGUCCAUUGCUUCAAGUGCUUAUCCACUAACACCUUCUCAGAGAUGGGUUGACAGUCACCUGAGAGCUGAGGGAAUAGAGCUCCAGAAUGACACUGGGAUCAGCACAGCUGUGAAGAUCUGGUAUAGAAUCCAGUAGGGAAAUCUAGGGAAUAGAGAUCAUGUGUGAAGCACAGGGAUCUUUUUCUCUCUCUCUCCUCCUACAGUGUUUCAAGUCUCUGAUUCCAAGAAUAUAGAAAGAAUGGGGAAUUAUUAUAAGAAAACAGCUGCAACAUCAAGUUUCCUACUUCCUAACAUCUCAGUUUACUUCAGACUCCAAGCCACAAAAGCCUCCCCAAGGUUAAUCUUGUGGAUUAUAGUCACAUUUCCUCUGUUCUGCCCAGAAGCAAGGGGAUGGGCCUCAUGAAACUAAAUGCCCUUUACUCAGCUGCAAGAUACAAUCAUAAAGAUCAAAUAAAUCCAAAUACAGUGUUUUCUAAAUAUAUUUCAUGGAGCAUGUAAGACACUCCUUGAAAAAAGUUCCACAGACAAUUAAGUGUUGGAAAUGCUGCAUAAUGCCUCAAAGAUAGGGUGACCUAUAAUUAAUCACCCAAACUAGGCCACUUCUGAGUGCCAAAGGGGAUGUUGUUAAUAAUUACACUGAGACAGCAAGCACAUACGGGAAAUGUCCUGGGUAAAUUGAGACUUAUGGUUAGUCUGCUGUUUAACCCAGAACUUUCCACAUUAGUUUGGCCACAGAACAUCUUUUCCCUCUUGCAACACCUGCAAACCUCAUAAGAGACCAUUAUUCCACAGAAUAUACUUUAGGGAACACUAAAGUUACAGGUCUUAGGAGGUCUGCAUGAAAUGCAAUAGACCAAUGCUUUCCCACCAUUUCUUGUCAAUGCUUACCUUGGAAGGAAGUGUUAAUAUAUUUGUAGUACAAAAAGGGAAAUGAACAGGGCUCCUUGUAGCUAGAAAAGACUGGCCAAGGAAGUAGAAUGUUUGAGGGGAUUACUAUCUCAGCACUCCUGUAAUCCUCUGAUACAUACAGAAAUUAGGCAUAUAGGUCAUGAAGCUGUAAAUAGACUAAAACAUGCCCACAAAUGACCUCUGUGUGUUUCUCUUCCUUGAAGAUCAAUUGCAGAUGAUUCAGUUAAAAGAAGGCAAUGAAGGACUUAGAAAAAAAUUUUGCCCUUUUAGCCUCCUGCCCUAUUUUGUUGCUAAGGAUUUGGUUCCAUAUCAAAAAUCUUGAAAGUUAUGGGAAAUGCAACAAAUCUCUUGACUGACUCAAUCUAUCCAUCAAGACACUGAAAAAAAAAAAAAAAAAAA